CCUACGGGAGGCAGCAGUGGGGAAUAUUGGGCAAUGGAGGAAACUCUGACCCAGCGACGCCGCGUGCGGGAUGAAGGCCUUCGGGUUGUAAACCGCUUUCAGCAGGGAAGAAGCGAAAGUGACGGUACCUGCAGAAGAAGCACCGGCUAACUAUGUGCCAGCAGCCGCGGUAAUACAUAGGGUGCAAGCGUUGUCCGGAAUUAUUGGGCGUAAAGAGCUCGUAGGUGGUUCGUCACGUCGGAUGUGAAAAUCUGGGGCUUAACCCCAGACCUGCAUUCGAUACGGGCGAGCUUGAGUAUGGUAGGGGAGUCUGGAAUUCCUGGUGUAGCGGUGGAAUGCGCAGAUAUCAGGAGGAACACCAAUGGCGAAGGCAGGACUCUGGGCCAUUACUGACACUGAGGAGCGAAAGCGUGGGGAGCGAACAGGAUUAGAUACCCUGGUAGUCCACGCCGUAAACGGUGGGCACUAGUUGUGGGGACCUUCCACGGUCUCUGCGACGCAGCUAACGCAUUAAGUGCCCCGCCUGGGGAGUACGAUCGCAAGNUAAACUUAAGAGAGUAGCGUGNGAGAGCGACGACGACGACGAGGAGGAGGAG
Molecule: ribosomal RNA, 596 nt
Filed under: uncultured bacterium
Lineage: Bacteria
Description: bacterial SSU rRNA
Rfam family: Bacterial small subunit ribosomal RNA
Source: RNAcentral